This 502-nucleotide ribosomal RNA is filed under the name uncultured bacterium. RNAcentral's name for it is "bacterial SSU rRNA". It matches the Rfam family "Bacterial small subunit ribosomal RNA", at positions 30 to 504 of the family's 1533-position model. The record is from RNAcentral.
UGAACGCUGGCGGCGUGCCUAACACAUGCAAGUCGUACGAGAAAUCUUUCGCUUGCGAAAGAGAGUAAAGUGGCGCACGGGUGAGUAACACGUGGGUAAUCUACCUUUGAACUCGGGAUAACGUCGCGAAAGUGAUGCUAAUACCGGAUAAUAUCCAGAGUGCUUCGGCACCUUGGAUCAAAGGGGGCCUCUACAUGUAAGCUUCCUUUCGAAGAUGAGCCCGCGUGCCAUUAGCUUGUUGGUAGGGUAAUGGCCUACCAAGGCUACGAUGGCUAGCUGGUCUGAGAGGAUGAUCAGCCACACUGGAACUGAGACACGGUCCAGACUCCUACGGGAGGCAGCAGUGAGGAAUCUUGCGCAAUGGGGGAAACCCUGACGCAGCAACGCCGCGUGAGUGAAGAAGGCCUUCGGGUCGUAAAGCUCUGUCAAGUGGGAAGAAACUGCCCUAUGAUAAUACCAUGAGGCACUGACGGUACCACUGAAGGAAGCACCGGCUAACUCC